CUUUACUAUAGCUUCACAUUGGUAUUGGGAGAAUGAUGUGUAGGAUAGGUGGGAGGCGUUGAUCCAGGGCCGCUAGGUUUUGGGGAGCCAACGGUGAAAUACCACCCUUUAUUUUCUUGAUGCCUAACCCUGCCUGGCAGGGGACAUUGUGUGGUGGGUAGUUUGACUGGGGUGGUCGCCUCCGAAAGUGUAUCGGAGGCUUUCAAAGGUACCCUCAGUACGGUUGGUAAUCGUACGUGGAGUGCAAUAGCAUAAGGGUGCUUGACUGUGAGACUGACGAGUCGAGCAGGGACGAAAGUUGGAUAUAGUGAUCCGGUGGUUCUGCAUGGAAGGGCCAUCGCUCAAAGGAUAAAAGGUA
This 358-nucleotide ribosomal RNA is filed under the name uncultured organism. RNAcentral's name for it is "bacterial LSU rRNA". It matches the Rfam family "Bacterial large subunit ribosomal RNA", at positions 2099 to 2465 of the family's 2925-position model. The record is from RNAcentral.